Non-coding RNA from Pelobates cultripes (western spadefoot toad), 507 nucleotides. NCBI's taxonomy places the organism in Eukaryota, Metazoa, Chordata, Amphibia, Anura, Pelobatidae. The record is from the annotation of a GenBank genome assembly.
CAUCAUAAUACAUUUGAUCUCACACACACUCCAGAGUCAAAAGGGAAGCCCCAAUCCGUGGUAGCUUUGAUCCACAUGUUUAUAUUGUGCCAAGGGGGGUACCCAACAAAUUUAAAGCUAGGGUUGCCGCUGGCUUUGAGUCCCUGAUUCCAUUAAUCACUGUCAAUAAGAAUGUUAAUUAGAUUAAUUAUAUCUAUUACAACCAACAGCGGUUUGUUAACUAUACUAGAGAUGCCCUACAGGGCCUAGCAGAACAACUGCAAGCUACCACCCAAAUGACAUUUCAAAAUAGAAUGGCUCUGAAUAUGAUUCUAGCAGAAAACGGGGGCGUAUGUAAAAUCCUCCCCGAGACUAUGAUCUGCUGCACAUUUAUUCCAGAUAAUAUUGGACCCAAUGGAAAAGUAACUUUGGCCAUAGAAAAACUGGACAGCCUUUCAGAUGAACUAAAACGCAACUCAGGGGUCACAAACGUGUGGGAUAGGUGGUUUGGAUGGAUGAAUGGUUGGC